Phalacrocorax carbo (great cormorant) is the source of this 4205-nucleotide non-coding RNA. Lineage: Eukaryota; Metazoa; Chordata; Aves; Suliformes; Phalacrocoracidae. The record is from RefSeq and is a predicted model, not a curated record.
UCAUCUGUAUGAAAAAAGGCAAAUAAGCAAGUUCUUUUAGGCAGAAUUUUUAACAGUGACCCCAUUAACCUCACUGGACAGAAUUUAUCGCUGAUGUAACUCAAACAAUACCAGUGGAGUGACAGCAAGGAUGAAUUUGACCCAUUUUAGCUACAAUUGCACUCAUUUCCCUCAACACCCCAGGCAGAGACUUCAUAUGGUGAUGAGCACUUUUCACCAUGUUCCAAGUGUGAAAUGUUGCUGAACGUAAAGUUUAUAAAUUAAAAUCGGCACUUUUGAGUCUGUAGUUGUCAGAGAACAUCCUGCUGAGAAAACGGUAUCAUUUGUGAUUCCAGCACUUGUUUGGCAAUCCCCUGCCAAAAGAGACCAUAAGUCAGAUCCUUUUCUGCUGGAAAUGUCUUCUUUUGGGAGGAGAAGACCGAGUCUUCAGGUGCUGUCGCUACAGGCUCUGCAGUGCCAUAUUCUGGUCCCGAGGAACAUCCCUAGCAGAAGACAGGGUGCCAAUUUAAUCUCAACUUGUCCUUGUCUUGGCUUCUGUUUUGGUCUCAGUGCUAAAAUAGUAGCUCCUGCUCUUUUCUUUACCCAUUCGUAUGCUGUGGUGGUGAUAUCUGCUCUGUUAGAAGGGGAAGAAUUGCCUCGGUGGACAAUGUGUUUUAAUGGAGUUCUGCAACGGGGGAGGUCCUGAUAGGUAGCAAACACCUUGGCUUUAUCAUUUUCCUUCCACCUUUCAAAAAAGCUGUAGCAGACGUGGGUCAGAAUUUGACUCCCACAUAUUCGGUGAUGUAAAUUGUUCUCCAUAUGCUCGCUACGCUUAUUUCUAACUUUUUUUUUUUUUCCUUACAGGAAGUCUCCUCUAACACUCUUGAAAGGCUGUUUCUGUGCAGAGAAGUGGAAGCAAACACUUGUAAAUUAUUUUCUGUGACGGAUACAGGCAAAGGACAAGAAGUUGUAGAGUAGCUGUACACACAGGUGCAGGUGCUCUUUGGGAAGCAGACACGGCAGGCAGGGAGAGACGAACUGCUAAACUAAUACCAGCUUUGGAAAACUUCUGUAAAGAGACCAUGAUGCACCGCCAGCUUCAUUACGCUUGGAUCCUACCUAAAUGAGGGUCUCUCACUGGCUGUGAACAUCAUUUGUGCCUACACUGCAAGUAUGAUGCCAGCCGACACUAGGAGGAAAAGGUUUAAAUGUUACUACCAAUGAAACUGAUGAAUGUAGAGAUCUUGGCUGUGUGGAUUUUUAGGAGCAUGCUCAAUGGAGAGAAGUAGGAGUUAUGUUGGUAAGUGAGGUGCUUCCUGCUGAAAGGAGUAAAUACCCAUCCCUACUGCCUUCCUGCUGUGUCCAGGAGAAGGAAGUUACCUUUCUGAUGCUAUUUUACUUAAUUGGUUUCUGCAUGUGAAGAAGCAGUGGACACAGCUGGGCUGGUGGGUUUCUGCAAAUGAGCUAAGAGUCAACAGUUUGUUUUUUUUUUUAAUUUUUUUUUUCACUUGUCAAAUCACAGCCACCAGUUUAGAGGAAGAGCUGCAGCAGGUGAUGGAAGAAGAAGAAGAAAAAAAAAAGCUAACUUGAUGUGUUGAUCCUUCUGGUUGCUUUCAUUUGACUUUGCCUGAUACAACUUCUGAGUUUUUAUCAGGUCUUUUUAUAUUGUUUUCUUCCUGAUUGACACUCCCAGGUUAUUCUAAAACCUUGGAUCAAGUAAGGUAGCUAAGAUGUAGUGAGCGGAUUCUUUCAUGUUGGAAAUUCAUUGUCAGAUUUGCUACAUAAAACAUCCCCUCAUUUCACAGAAGAAAUAACACCAUCUCUUUCAACAUCUUGUUUUAGGCUUCUCAGUGUAUUUCCUAAAAGACUGAUGGACAAGAUAAUUUGACUGACACGAACCCAGUUUCUCCUGACAACCCACGCACAAGCAAAAUCUGACAGCUGCCUUCCAAACAUCUCUGUGCCUCUGAAGUUCCAGUAAAUGCUUCUUCUGGGCCCCUCUCUCCUGUGUGUUGCGCCAAUGGUGGCCAAAAUCCACAGAGCAGGCGUGCCCUGUCUGAAAGUGUUUUAUCUUGCGUAAUAUAGCGAUGACUGAGUUAUUGCAAGUGAGGUGCACAGAAAAGUCUGUGGGUGACACAUCUGUAAGUGUUGUAUGCUGGUAAUCGCAGAGAUGUUUUCCCUCGGACUGUGUGGUAAAAUAACCAGAAUGCCUUAGUUUUAUGUUUCUGUAGCACUUUUGAGAUUCUCUGUCUCCACUAUGGGCUAGUAAGCCAAAUACUGAUGAUGUGGGACAAGGGAAUCCACAGGAUUCAGUAUCAUUAUGAGGAAAAAACUAGUUCCCAUGACAAAACAGCAAGUGACAGCUACCUGUUGGCUGCUUAGGCAGUACCAAGCUUGUGUGUCUGUAUUUCCGUUAUUUACUCUUUUUUUUUUGGUCUUGCCAAAGUAGCCAAAGUCAUGGGAAGUUUUCUAGAACUUAGGGUAAAUAGGGACAGAUAAAGUUGCAUAAUAUUGGGUUUAUGGUCAAAACAUAAACCAAAUUUCCAGCCCAAUUGCUGGUUGGAGAAACUGAAGUUUAGUUUUUAAGUUUAAAAAUAUUAAUGAUUUUUUACUUGUAUUUUUUAUUAUAUCUGCACCUUGUUCCCAUUUCAGCUGAGAUGAGGAAGAGAAAGUAGUUUUAAAAAAAAACCAAACCAAACCAAACAUGUGGGGGAGCCCUCUCUGGCAAUUUUUUUUGCCCAGCUUAAUCAAAUAAUUGGAAGUCUUAUGAAAGAAAGAUGGAAAGCAAAUGUUCUUGAGUGAUUUGCAGUUUGAUUUUCAAAACAGCAAGCUAUGGAUAAGUCUAUUUUGCUUGCAGUCAGUUGUUUAUCUGAACUGAAGUGGAAUGCUAUGCCAAUAUAAAGAUAUUUAUUUGCAUAUGCUUUUUUUUUUUUUAAAGUUUUCUCUGGGAGUUCAUUUUUGAAGUUAUUGACUUCCUAGCAAAUCACGUUCUUUUGUUGCACUAAGCUAGGAAACAAUCAAGUCUCCAGUGCUGAAUUUGGCUAUGUGUUUAUUUUGCCUUUUUGAAAGCACAUUUUUGUACAUUUUUAUCUACUUCAAAAGUAGGUACAUUAAAGAAAGGGUCAGGAGAUGAUGACUGUAGUUCACAAAAGAAACAGUCAUGUGGAGUUGCAAGAAUUUAUUGAGGUCAAUGCUGACAAGAAACUGAUAGACUAAGUUGAACAGUCUACUGAUCUUCAGUGUAUUUUUUCCAGUGCUCUAAUGAAAUUACUGUCACCAUUUUCUGAAUGUUAUAUGUGCUGUCUAUCUUUCUGUGUGUGCUCUCUAUCAUUAUUUUCAUCAGAACACCGUUAAUAUUACUUCUUCCCUCAUCUGGCAGGUUUCACUGUACCUAACUAAGCAAUUCAUCAGGUUUCUUUGCCUUUGACACAACCUUUUGCUGAUGGACACGUAUCUCCUGAUCACACUGUAUAUUGCCAAAGUAAAAAAUGAUGAAACCAAGCUGAAAGAGGAUGAAACCGCAGUAACAGAAGUUCGUUUCCCUAACUUUUCCCCCUAAGACUGCAUAUUUUUUUGGGUGGAGGUUAUAAUUAAAUGACUUUAACAUAGAAAGUUUCUAGUACACAAGGCUUGCAUUAGAAAACUCAGGUGUUUUGGUAUCACCUUGCUAAGAGGUGCACCUUAGUUCGUUUGCAGCAGCCUUAGCUUUGUAGACAACUUCUCUCCCACUCCCUCCACAGUGCUGACAGCUGCAAGUCUCAUUUUUAGAUAUUAUGAAGUUUCUGCACUUCUUCUCCAGCCCAUAUCAGUCUUUCUCUCAUUUCUUCUCUGUGUUGGAAUCGGCUCUGGUGUGUCUGUGAGCUAACUACUUGCAUGCGGGCUUACAUUGCUUUUCUCUCAACUAACCCAGUGCAGCUUUACCACUUGGGGGAACUGAUGCUUCAGAACUAGCAGUUUUUUAGCCAGCUCAGGGACAUGUAUUGAAGAAAAGCUUGUCUGUGAACUCCCUAGAGCAUUACAAGGGUUCAUAGGCUUUCAGUCCUAUAGUCAGGCAGUGAUCUGCAAUGUUGCUUUGCCAUUAGCUGCAUAUGCACAGAUGUGUUGGCCGUCGCAAGAGAUGACCCUCAUUUUCAACGCCUACUUCCUAAACACUAUCAAUCAUUAAAAGACUACGUGUCUCCUUGAUUUUAAUAAUGGGCAAAGCACAUUACUAGGAUUUCACCAUC